Molecule: ribosomal RNA, 253 nt
Filed under: uncultured bacterium
Lineage: Bacteria
Description: partial 16S ribosomal RNA
Rfam family: Bacterial small subunit ribosomal RNA
Source: RNAcentral
GACAGAGGGGGCAAGCGUUGCUCGGAAUUACUGGGCGUAAAGCGUGCGCAGGCGGUUAUGCAAGACAGAUGUGAAAUCCCCGGGCUCAACCUGGGAACUGCAUUUGUGACUGCAUGGCUAGAGUACGGUAGAGGGGGAUGGAAUUCCGCGUGUAGCAGUGAAAUGCGUAGAGAUGUGGAGGAACACCGAUGGCGAAGGCAGCCCCCUGGGUCGACACUGACGCUCAUGCACGAAAGCGUGGGGAGCAAACAGG